CUAGAUCAUGGAACAGGGACUUGACAAGUUUUAGGUUUAGAUUCUGCCUCUCCAUUGACUUCUGCUGAUCUCAGGAUGUUACAGAUCUGCACAUGUAUGGAAACUUGAUCAUCCGUUUCCUCAGGGCUGUCCUGCAGGGAAAGGAUUGCAUUCCAGUGAUUCAUAGAACAAAACUGAAGAUCUUUUCAUGUAAUGGAUAUGAG
This 203-nucleotide long non-coding RNA is filed under the name Melopsittacus undulatus (budgerigar). RNAcentral describes it as "lncRNA (ENSMUNG00000017865.1)". The record is from RNAcentral. Lineage: Eukaryota; Metazoa; Chordata; Aves; Psittaciformes; Psittaculidae.